AUGCCACAGCAGCUGCAAGGAGGCUUCCUUCUCCAGAUGAUAGCCCCAAAUAUCACGCAACAGCGUCUCUGUUCAAGUGAAAGUUCAACAAUUCUAGUUUGGAAUUAUCCGCUGGUGAUGAAAUUCUCAGAUUCAAAGGUCAGGCUGCCUGCGGAUAUAGCCCCUUGCCUCGGCUGCCUUAUUGCCAGUUACAUUAAACACAGUCUAUGACAAGAGUUUAUUGAUACUCUACGGCAGUCAACAUCCGCUGAUGAUGGUGAACAUCAUCCUACACAAUAACCCUUCUCUCCCUGGUCUCUCUCACACCAGCCAUGAAGGGUUUCGAAGGUAAGUGCAGGUGAAUUUGUUUAUUUUUCUUUAUAUUUUGUAUUUUCUUUAUUGCUUUGUAUUAUAUUAUGGUAUUGUAAUCAUUUUUAUAUGGAUAUUUUGGGGUUGUGGAACGAAUCAUCUGAGUUUCCAUUAUUUCUUGCGGGUAAACUUGCUUUGAUACACAAUUGCUUUGGAUUACAAGCAUGUUUCCAGAACGAAUUAUGCUCACAAACCGAGGCUUUACUGUAUAUUCAUCUAUUGAAAAAAAAAAAAACAAGAAUGGAAAAGACAGAAUUUUAGAAUUCUUUGCCCUAUAUCAAGUCUCAUGGCUUGGUCAAAAUAAGCUUGGUGCUUUUUAUUUGCUUGUCGAGUCUGGAUCAAGGUCUUGAUUCCCAGAUUCUUGUCAACAGGGAGGAAACCAACGUAGCUUUGAAUGAAAAGUGACCUUAGGAAGACACUGUGGCCACUCUCCCUCCAGAGGC
This 791-nucleotide long non-coding RNA is filed under the name Felis catus (domestic cat). Its description in RNAcentral is "lncRNA (ENSFCAG00000051501.1)". Lineage: Eukaryota; Metazoa; Chordata; Mammalia; Carnivora; Felidae. The record is from RNAcentral.